CGAAGUUGUGAAUUGUGGCCAACUUUUUGGGCGAAAAGUGCCACGUGUGGCGUCGAGUGUCAUCUGUCGAAGGAACGUGCAAACGCCGGAAUACAAAAAUUCUCCCCUCCACACGCUCGUCGAUCCCAUCGCACACUCUAACCGCCAUUUCUGGCGCGGCUCCUAUCGGGUCCCUUAUUUCGUCGACGAAAAAAUGGGGAGGUGGGUGAACUGGAAGAAUGCAGUCUCAAGCCUCCGCGACCUAACCCAGUGAAAUGAAUUGGAGGACCGUGCCCCGACCGUGAAAAUCGACGCCAGAAAAAUAUUUUCCCGGCCUUCGUGCCCCGGGCAACGAUGCCGAUCUUUUGCGCAAUCAUAGGUCUGCUGAAGCUGGUGAUACUUCUGAUUCUAACCGCAUUCCUGUUCUCUCUCGCUGCCGUAACACGGUUGAUGGAGAUGACUGUCGUCGUAAUGUAUCCGGUGCCCAUUUUCGUGCUCAGACUGUUUUCGGGAGUAGUCGUUUUAAUUUUUGACACCUGGUUGUCCGCAGUGGUUGGUUAAACAGACGGCCGGCGUAACCGUCGUCACCUACGGCCGAAUCUGCACGCUGGAGUGUUCACCGAUCGAGAUCGAUAUAAGGGCACCGGAAGUCAAGUACGAGAGGAGCGCGUUGCCAGGUUUGGUGCACGAAACGGUACCCGUGGUGGCUGCAGCAGUCGCCGAGGAAUUGGAAACCGUAGGGUCAACCAUGGGGCCAACCAUGGCGGCGAUCGCAGAGUUAACCAUAGAGCCGGCCGAGGCGGAAGAAGAAAACGGCGGCGAGACUGCUUCGCAGGUCACCUAACCCAACUUUUCACGAGACUUUAUGGAAAUUUUCGUGGUUCCAAAAUUCAUGCUCGCAUCUGUGUAAAUUAUUGUUAUUACGAUGCAUGUUUUUUAAAUAAACGAACCUCCUCGGUAGG
This is a non-coding RNA of Megalopta genalis, 941 nucleotides long. The record is from RefSeq and is a predicted model, not a curated record. Lineage: Eukaryota; Metazoa; Arthropoda; Insecta; Hymenoptera; Halictidae.